RNAcentral lists this long non-coding RNA (2459 nucleotides) under Ananas comosus (pineapple). Its description in RNAcentral is "long non-coding RNA (ACOM_LNC007433)". Lineage: Eukaryota; Viridiplantae; Streptophyta; Magnoliopsida; Poales; Bromeliaceae. The record is from RNAcentral.
GUUUUUCCGGGCACGCCGACAAAUCCGUCGUAUACAAAGAAAUUUUUUCUGUAUACGAAGCGAUAGCUAUAUCCGUACUUGUAAUCAUACAAAAUUACAACUAGUAGUAUAGAGCUGCUAAACUGAAAAAAUAUAUAUAAAUAAUAUCAGGUUUUCUAUACAUACAUAGUCUCCAGAUAUAUAACACUUGCUCCAGCGAGGAUCUAACAUCAGCAUAUACAAGAACCAAAAACCAACACUACCUGUAGUCAACAUCCCCACUCUAGGAAUCAGCCUUCCCCACGGCGCAGGCCGGACUACCUACGGGUAGCUUUCACAGGAUUUGGUUACUGGUGACAUAUUGUACCUUUUUGACAUUACUAGAAUAGUAAACAUUGACAUCUUUACUAUUUACAUUGUGGACAUUGGGUUAGUUGCAUACUUAUGCAUUUACAUAUUGGAUACUCUUGUGCACAUACUUGUAGUAGUUGCUUUAUUACUUAUGCAAAUCCAUGCUAAGUAGAGAUCAUGUGGUAGAUUAUUACUGAUGAAAGUAGUGACUUCGUGCUAUAUUGAGCUUUCAUUUCAGUGAGUUAUUUGUUCAUAUUAUUCUUACUUGCCUUACUUACCCUACUUGCUUAGUUUUGGGCCUAGUGGUGCAUUUUACUGAAGUCAGUAAUUGUCACGCCCGGGUACCAGCGGAAGCAUAUUCGGUACGUGCACAGAUCCGCCAUACACCUGCAGUAUAUAAGGCGUCUACAAGAAAGCAAGUCGAUAGGAAAAAAAAAUGAAAAAAUUCUAUCCUGAUAUCAGAGCAAAGUAUAAGUUCCAAAUACUAUCAACAGAGGAACAAAAAGUAACCAAUCCAAAAAUUCCACAUCAUGGAUAAGUAUAACAACUAUAAUUUCAGGUUCCAGAACUCAUAUACAUCACAGGGUACACAAAACAUCUGUACAAUGGUAGUCUCUCUAUACACUGGACAUCACCCUCGGCAGUAGCCCGAGUAGCAAGGCGAUCGACUAGCAAGCCCAUAGCAAUGUCUAGUUAGACGCGACUCCCUUGCCACGAUCCCUAGCCUCUCCUGUAGAUGGCUCUGUAAAAACAACAAUAAAAUGGGCGUGAGAACUAUUAACAAUAGUUCCCAGUGGGUAAGCCGCCAGCUUCAGCGAAUUACACCACUAGACUCAUGAUGUACUAAAUAAAAGUAAAUGCGAUAAUUGCAUGAUAUCUAUAUGCAAUGCUAGCAGGCAAUAGGCAUGUAAUCAACAUGUAAUCAUGAUUUCUGCAGUAAUGAAUCAACUGAAUAAUAGAAGCAUAGCAACUACUAUAAACAUGAACAUAAACAGGAAUGCGUAAGUAAAUACUGUACACUAUAACUGAUGAGCAUUCAUUACUGUUCUUAUCAUUUAGUACUUUCAUUUCAUUCAUAAGGACCUACCCAAGGCAGUCCAACUUGCGCCGCGCCUAAUGGCCCCGUGGUAGUAUACACUCCUCACGGCAAUCCACUUCGGCACCCAAUCCCGCACGGGCGAGCAACUGUCGCGUAGGCCAACUCCGGAGUGCCGGCUUGUAGGGAGCUACCCUCACAAGCGUGUGCGAAUGAGCACGAUGGCAAGCAAGCAAAGUCCACAGUCCAACAUGUCUCAAAUAUCACAUUUUAGCUCACAAUAUUCUCGCUCUCGAUCCUUUGAUCGGAAUUUCAAUAUAACCAAUAUUGAAAUCAACUAGUAUCCACUAGAUUAAUAAACAUGUGAGAGUAAUGCUAAUUUAUAUAUGGCAUUAGAAACUUUCCACUAUUAUGGCACUAUCAACAUAGUCACAUGGCAUGUCAUUGUUCUCUACUUUAUAAUCAAUAAAAUCACGAGAAUAUCAUUGUUCUCUACUUUACAAAAGCAUAAUUAUCAUGUCCAUUAGUUAUUCAACUUAACUACAUAUAAACAUAAACAUGAGCAUAAAUACAAUUAUGCAUGAGUUCUUUCUACUUCAUAGAGGUUCUAUUUCUAAUAUAUCAAUGUUAUGGCAAAGAGAUUUCAAAUCCAUUUAGUAACCACAUAGUGACAAUAACGCACGACUAUAUCAAUUCUAUAGUUACAUGUAGAAUAUAGGGGAGCUUCACUUGCUCUGGUUAGGUCAAACCCACAUAUUAUUAGGCUCCAAUCAAUCCAAAGGAAAUCCCAAAAUCAGCUCCACAAGGUCUCAACUCUGCUGAAAAACAAGGCACGAAAGUGUCAUCAUUACUACAAUUGAAAUGUCCGAUCUCGGCACAAUUCGCACUUAGUACAAAGUAGUAACUUGAAUCCCUGCUUUGGGGCUAGUUUAAUACCUCAAGAUAAGUCUCCAAGAGCUCUCACAAGUCAACUAAAGACGAUCCAAGGCUCGAUCGCACUCUCGCUACGAACAACAUUGAAACGGCAUCAAAACGCUCAAAUAUAAAUUAAUAUCAUCGACAUCUUGCAAAAUCAGCUUUACAAGCGAAAUUU